AAGUCGUAACAAGGUUUCCGUAGGUGAACCUGCGGAAGGAUCAUUAGAGAUUCGUGGCGCAAGCCACAACCACACACACACCGUGAACCGUGGGCUUCGGCCCCAUUACAAACUCUUGCUGUAUAAGAACGUGAAACAUAUGUAACAAUGAAAAAACUUUCAACAACGGAUCUCUUGGCUCUC
RNAcentral lists this unclassified non-coding RNA (183 nucleotides) under fungal sp. RNAcentral describes it as "partial internal transcribed spacer region". The stretch from base 1 to 46 matches the Rfam family "Eukaryotic small subunit ribosomal RNA", at positions 1786 to 1831 of the family's 1831-position model. Lineage: Eukaryota; Fungi. RNAcentral also lists the same sequence under 1 other name. The record is from RNAcentral.